Molecule: ribosomal RNA, 443 nt
Filed under: uncultured bacterium
Lineage: Bacteria
Description: partial 16S ribosomal RNA
Rfam family: Bacterial small subunit ribosomal RNA
Source: RNAcentral
CCUACGGGUGGCAGCAGUGGGGAAUAUUGCACAAUGGGGGAAACCCUGAUGCAGCAACGCCGCGUGAGUGAAGAAGUAUCUCGGUAUGUUAAACUCUAUCAACCGGGACGAAAGAAAUGACGGUACCUGAAUAAGAAGCCCCGGCUAACUACGUGCCAGCAGCCGCGGUAAUACGUAGGGGGCAAGCGUUAUCCGGAAUUACUGGGUGUAAAGGGUGAGUAGGCGGCAUGGUAAGCCAGAUGUGAAAGCCUUGGGCUUAACCCGAGGAUUGCAGUUGAAACUAUCAAGCUAGAGUACAGGAGAGGAAAGCGGAAUUCCUGGUGUAGCGGUGAAAUGCGUAGAUAUUAGGCAGAACACCAGUGGCGAAGGCGGCCUUCUGGACUGAAACUGACGCUGAGGCACGAAAGCGUGGGGAGCGAACAGGAUUAGAUACCCGGGUAGUC